RNAcentral lists this ribosomal RNA (463 nucleotides) under uncultured bacterium. RNAcentral's name for it is "partial 16S ribosomal RNA". It matches the Rfam family "Bacterial small subunit ribosomal RNA", at positions 28 to 507 of the family's 1533-position model. The record is from RNAcentral.
GACGAACGCUGGCGGCGUGCUUAACACAUGCAAGUCGAACGGUAAGGCCCUUCGGGGUACACGAGUGGCGAACGGGUGAGUAACGCGUGAGUAACCUGCCCUUCACUCUGGGAUAACAGUUGGAAACGGCUGCUAAUACCGGAUAUUCAGCUCCUGUCGCAUGGUGGGGGUUGGAAAGUUUUGGUGGUGGAGGAUGGGCUCGCGUCCUAUCAGCUUGUUGGUGGGGUGAUGGCCUACCAAGGCGUCGACGGGUAGCCGGCCUGAGAGGGCGACCGGCCACAUUGGGACUGAGAUACGGCCCAAACUCCUACGGGAGGCAGCAGUGGGGAAUAUUGCACGAUGGGCGGAAGCCUGAUGCAGCAACGCCGCGUGCGGGAUGACGGCCUUCGGGUUGUAAACCGCUUUCAGCAGGGACGAAGCGCAAGUGACGGUACCUGCAGAAGAAGCACCGGCUAACUACGUG